RNAcentral lists this non-coding RNA (100 nucleotides) under Bacillus sp. (in: firmicutes). Its description in RNAcentral is "Bacillus sp. Guanine sequence". It matches the Rfam family "Purine riboswitch aptamer". From Rfam's summary of the family: Riboswitches are metabolite binding domains within certain messenger RNAs that serve as precision sensors for their corresponding targets. Lineage: Bacteria; Bacillati; Bacillota; Bacilli; Caryophanales; Bacillaceae. The record is from RNAcentral. RNAcentral also lists the same sequence under 1 other name.
ACUAAAAAUGAAUAGUUCUCUCAUAUAAUAGCAGGGAUAUGGCCUGCGAGUUUCUACCGAACCCCGUAAAGGUUCGACUAUGAGUAGCGAUAUCAUGGUG